UUUCCGUAGGUGAACCUGCGGAAGGAUCAUUACAGAGUUCAUGCCCUCACGGGUAGAUCUCCCUUCCUUGAAUAUUUAUGCCUUAGUUGCUUUGGCAGGCCGUGGAAACACCAUGGGCUCCGGCUUAUGCGUGCCUGCCAGAGGAAACAAACUCUGUUUUUAGUGAUGUCUGAGUACUAUAUAAUAGUUAAAACUUUCAACAACGGAUCUCUUGGUUCUG
This 220-nucleotide unclassified non-coding RNA is filed under the name plant metagenome. RNAcentral describes it as "partial contains small subunit ribosomal RNA, internal transcribed spacer 1, and 5.8S ribosomal RNA". The record is from RNAcentral.